AAGGAGUAAUCCCGCUAUGAGAUGGACCCGCGUCGCAUUAGCUAGUUGGUGAGGUAACGGCUCACCAAGGCGACGAUGCGUAGCCGACCUGAGAGGAAGGUCCCCCACAUUGGAACUGAGACACGGUCCAAACUCCUACGGGAGGCAGCAGUGGGGAAUAUUGCACAAUGGGGGAAACCCUGAUGCAGCAACGCCGCGUGAGUGAUGACGGUCUUCGGAUUGUAAAGCUCUGUCUUUAGGGACGAUAAUGACGGUACCUAAGGAGGAAGCCACGGCUAACUAC
This 283-nucleotide ribosomal RNA is filed under the name uncultured bacterium. RNAcentral's name for it is "partial 16S ribosomal RNA". It matches the Rfam family "Bacterial small subunit ribosomal RNA", at positions 202 to 504 of the family's 1533-position model. The record is from RNAcentral.